UUCGGCCGGAAGAUACGUUAUCUAGUGGCGGACGGGUGAGUAACACGUGGGUAACCUGCCUUAUGGAGGGGGAUAACAGAGAGAAAUCACUGCUAAUACCGCAUAAGCACACAGUACCGCAUGGUACAGGGUGAAAAGAUUUAUCGCCAUAAGAUGGACCCGCGUCUGAUUAGCCAGUUGGCAGGGUAAAAGCCUACCAAAGCAACGAUCAGUAGCCGAUCUGAGAGGAUGACCGGCCACAUUGGGACUGAGACACGGCCCAAACUCCUACGGGAGGCAGCAGUGGGGAAUAUUGCACAAUGGGGGAAACCCUGAUGCAGCGACGCCGCGUGAGUGAAGAAGUAUUUCGGUAUGUAAAGCUCUAUCAGCAGGGAAGAUAAUGACAGUACCUGACUAAGAAGCCCCGGCUAACUACGUGCCAGCAGCCGCGGUAAUACGUAGGGGGCAAGCGUUAUCCGGAUUUACUGGGUGUAAAGGGAGCGUAGACGGAGUGGCAAGUCUGAAGUGAAAACCCUGGGCUUAACCUGGGGACUGCUUCGGAAACUGUUAAUCUAGAGUGUUGGAGAGGUAAGUGGAAUUCCUGGUGUAGCGGUGAAAUGCGUAGAUAUCAGGAAGAACACCGGAGGCGAAGGCGGCUUACUGGACAAUAACUGACGUUGAGGCUCGAAAGCGUGGGGAUCAAACAGGAUUAGAUACCCUGGUAGUCCACGCUGUAAACGAUGAAUACU
This 728-nucleotide ribosomal RNA is filed under the name uncultured Johnsonella sp. RNAcentral's name for it is "bacterial SSU rRNA". It matches the Rfam family "Bacterial small subunit ribosomal RNA", at positions 76 to 817 of the family's 1533-position model. The record is from RNAcentral. Lineage: Bacteria; Bacillati; Bacillota; Clostridia; Lachnospirales; Lachnospiraceae.